This 68-nucleotide transfer RNA is filed under the name Raddaella batesii. Its description in RNAcentral is "tRNA-Ser". The record is from RNAcentral. Lineage: Eukaryota; Metazoa; Chordata; Actinopteri; Cyprinodontiformes; Nothobranchiidae.
GAGAGAAACUCGAUUGUAACGAUAACUGCUAAUUAUCGCCUUCUUGGUUUGAUUCCAGGACUCCCUCG